This is a long non-coding RNA of Passer montanus (Eurasian tree sparrow), 2480 nucleotides long. RefSeq lists it as uncharacterized. The record is from RefSeq and is a predicted model, not a curated record. NCBI's taxonomy places the organism in Eukaryota, Metazoa, Chordata, Aves, Passeriformes, Passeridae. The transcript is spliced from 3 exons.
UCUUAUAACAAAAUUUUAUUUUUUUGUAUUGCUUAACUUAUUGAUUGUUUUAGUAUUUGUUUUACAGAAAAGAGUGUUAAAGCAUUACCUGUGGUCAGCACAUCUCCGAAGCUCCUUUUAUUUAAUAAGAAAAGAACUGUCAAUUAACCCAGGGAAAGCGAUAGGACAGUGCCUCCAGACUUACAUCCCUCUGUUGAUGCUGAAUGUUAUAACCAGACAAGUUUAGAAACUUGCCAUGGAAAUGGCCGAGCCUGUUGGGUGGGAGUUGAUCCUGGAUUAGGGCAAUGGACGCCUCCGGCCCAGACUGCCCCACAGAGGGAGAAUUCCUGUGUUUCCUGAAAAGAGAGGAGUGGGGAAAUUCAGAACAAAACCAGCAAGAUCAGAAUUACAAGCAUCUGUUGAGUGAACCAUCAGAGGUAUUGGGGCAGUUUCCAUGAAGACCAACCAGUAGAGUGAAACAAGAAAUAGAGGACAAGCCCAGGCUGCCCCUGUGUUCAUCACCGAGGAGAUUCCAUAGCCCUGCUGCAGGCAGCAAGCCCACAGGCAUGGUAAGGUGGGGGAAGAAAGCCACAACAGACCUCUGUCAUUCCUCAGCUGUCUUUUAAUACAACAGGAACCAGAAGGCAAGACUGAGUUGGCCUCUGUACUCACCACUAAGAUACGCCUGCCAUGAGUAGCAAUCCCAUAGGAACGAUAGAUGGGGUAAAAAAGCCAUACCAGACCUCAGUGAUCUCAUUUUGUCCAUUCCAAAUAAGUUUGUACUAAGUAAACCUGAGAUUUUUUUCCUUCUCUUCCCACUGUCCUCACCCUCAUUAACAUAUACUAGUAUGACUCAUUAAAAAUUUUUUUUGAGAAGUAAGGAGAGAUUAUCAGAAUUUAAAAUGACAAUUCUUCAAACCAAAUGACUCAUAGAAAAAGGUUUUUUUUUAGAUGAAUAAUAUGAUGAUGGUUGUCUCUCACAAUGAAGAGAUAGAUAUUCCAUGUAUGUUAGGAGAAGUUUUGUAGAUGUACAGUGCUGUUACUGUAAUAUCUCCUCCCACAGUGCCCUUUCCCUCCCCCUUGCAGCAGCCUCAGCAGUCAGGGCAUGUGGGGCUCAUCCCCAGCAGGGGCGACAGGACAACACUUGAGCUCCAGUCAAGGUGUAGGGAAGUGAUCUCCACCAGUGGGGGCAGAGGGAGAGCUGAGUGACAAAACUUUGGGAGGGCUGAGGGUAUAAAAGGCAGAGCAUCCAUUUUGUAAAUGAGCACGUGGCUGACAGUCACAGAGACCCCCAGCACUGUAAUUUUUCCUUAUUCUGUCCAUUGUUGUAUUUUUUGGUUAAGGUUAAAUAAACCUGUAAAAUUUUAAAGGUGAGGGUCAUUUCUCACUUGUUCAAAGGACAGUCCAAAAGUGUCACCUUCAGGCCAGUUUGUGAUGAUUUCCAAGAGCCCAGGGCAAUUUGGAUUUCCCAUUUGAGCUUUUUGUAUAAUGUUAUAAAUAACAAAUAUAGUUACUCUCUUUCACAUUUAUGUAUUAACUUCUGUUUUGCAAGUUAUUAUUGAUCACAAAAAUCCUGAUUAUUACAAAUACGAAUUACCAUCUGUAAUUCCUGCUUUUGAUAUAGUAUAAUCUGUCAGUUUAUGCAUGCACUGUAUAGCUUCUAUAAAUAGCGAUGUAAUAGAUACUGUAUUAGACCACAGCAUAAUAGAAACUUUGAAAUGUUGAAAUUAUAUUCUCAUGUAAAUAACUCAGAAAAUGGUGUAAAAUUAUUAAGUGACUUCCCACAUACAGGGACUUUCUUAUCAGGAAGACAAGAGAAACAGAAACCAGAGCAUGGGGAAAAAAAAGACCUUAUUGACCCUCGUUAUCAAGGAGUGAAAAUACAAAAAGAGAGAACCAUAAGAAAACAUAAAAUAUAUUAGUUUAAGGCAAAAGAUGGCCUGAAGAUAAGUAAAAAAUUAUAAAAAAUAAAACAGCAUGUAAAUUCAAAGUUGUCUGAAUUCUUAAAAAUGCUUUAAAAUAUACAUGUAGUUCUAAAAUGUAACAGUAUAUAGAAAAAAUAGUUUAAGUUAACUGUGUUAUUGAAACAAGACAACCGUCAUCAAAAGCAGAAAUUAUGAGGACUCCAUUGAUAUCAGAAAGUGAAUGAAUUACAAUAAUCACAUAUUAUUCUAUAGUAUAUUACUUUGCAUCUAAACUGAAUCUGCCAAGCACUCAACCCUGCACACAACAGCACAGAAUCUCGUGUGUCUCGUGUCUGUCAGCUGAGUGUCCGGACACAAACACACAUGCUUAGCCCUGACAGAACAAGGAAACAAAACACCAUCACUCUCAAUAAACAAUCUCCAUAUUGCAUUCUACUUUUGCACAAACAUGGGGACACAAAGUGUUCGUAAUUUUUUUUUUCUCUGAGGUUCAGAUAAUGUGAAUCUCAGAAAUAUUAUUGAGAAGAAUUGUGCCUUGCUUUUCUCUGGGAAGAGAAACGUGGCGACAGCGUGCAA